UCAUUAGUCUUUUAAUUGAAGGCUUGUAUGAAAGGUUGGACGAAAAAUGGACUGUUUCAAAUAAAAAGAUUGAAUUUAACUUUUAAGUGAAAAGGCUUAAAUAAAUUAAAAAGACGAUAAGACCCUAUAAAUCUUUACAUUUGUUAUUAUAGGUUUUGGAUUGUGUGUGUAAAAAAAAAUAUAAUAAAAAUGUUGUGUUGGGGCAACAGUGAUAUAGUAAUAUUAAUUGUUAAAAAUAAAAACAAAUAUACUUGUUAAAUAAAGAUCCUUUUUAAAGAUUUAAAGAUUAAGUUACUUUAGGGAUAACAGCGUUAUUUUUUCUGAGAGUUCUUAUCGAAGAAAAAGAUUGCGACCUCGAUGUUGAAUUAAAAAUUCUUUUUAAUGCAGCAGUUAAAA
This 396-nucleotide ribosomal RNA is filed under the name Clibanarius antillensis. RNAcentral describes it as "partial 16S ribosomal RNA". Lineage: Eukaryota; Metazoa; Arthropoda; Malacostraca; Decapoda; Diogenidae. The record is from RNAcentral.